CCCUGGGUUUGCGAGCCCAGGGACGCUGACGCGGACUCUCGGCGGGGCCUUCUGCCAGACCUGGUGCUGGGAGGCCACCACCCUCAAUUGAAUUGACAUUCCAGCUUCCCCAUCGCAAAACCCCUACGGCAAAGCCCAUGCCCUGACUUUCCAACAACUGGGAAUCGAGUGGACUUCCCACAAGGAGGAACAGUGUCAUGUGAGAGGAGCUCCUCAGCCUCAAGUUCUCCGCUGCUCCCUUCCACUGCCUGCACAAUGGACCCAGCACGCCACUCCUACUGGGCCAGGAGAGCCUCUUACUCACUGAUCUCCCCUCCACUUCUCCCCACGCUGCCUGGGCAGCCCCGGGACAGAAGUCUCUGAGCUCACCUCUCCAACCUCGAAUGAAGCUGAGCGUUUUCUCCAGGCUGUUGACUCUGCGGCACGCUGGCUGUACACACACACACCACGAGUUGUUCUCGCCCUUCCUGGGGGCCUCCCUUCUCAUCUCCCUGCUGGGCGCCCUCGAAACCUGACUACUCAGCCUGAGUGCAGAGCCCUGGCAGAGUGGGGAGCCUGGAGGACCAAGGGGAGGUGGCCAAGGGAGAGAAGGAGAGGGCCCGUAAUGGAGGAGGGGCCCCGCAUGCCUGAGAGAAAAGAAGCCAGCCUGCAGCCACAGCCUGGAGGAGAGGGGGAGUAUAAAGGGAAAGCCAACACUAAUCCCUCAGCCUACCUACGUGGGGCCUGACAGUUUACAAAAGCCUUUUCCCUGAAUAUUAUCUCAUUCACUCCGGGCUAUAAGGAAGGUAGGGCAGAUAGCGUUACCCUCACUGACAGAGGAGAGAGAUGACGCCCAGAGAGGUUAAGAUAGGUCUGUACCAAGGUUGCAGAGCUAAGAGUGGUGGAGGAGCCCCCAGGCCUGGGGUUUCCUGCUCCCAAGUUCACGUUCCUGUUCAAUAGCUCUGUGUGUGUGAGUCUGGGUGACUAUCUGUGUGGAGGGGAAGGUGGGGGGUGGCUGGACAGGAAUGAGCAGUCCAGUGAGGGAAGUCCAGGAAGGAAGGACAUAGCCUCAUACCUCUUCCUCUACUCAGGUCUCAGCCAGCAGCCUCCUGCUCUUUCCGUAGCAGCCUGUGAGCCGGCCCCCAACUCGCCUGCCCAGGGGUGAGCUGUCUGUGGCUCCAGCAGUGGCUAUUCCAGAGGGCUUAUAUCUUUGGGAGGCCCCGCUCUGCUUGUCUGCUCGGCUCUCCUCUCUGCCUGUCAUCCCCACCCCCAGCCUCGGCUGCAGGAUGC
Long non-coding RNA from Bos taurus (domestic cattle), 1269 nucleotides. The record is from Ensembl. Lineage: Eukaryota; Metazoa; Chordata; Mammalia; Artiodactyla; Bovidae.